CCACUGUGAGAUGGGCAUUUGCGGACCCCCUGGGCUCUAUCUGGGCCUUUACCAAGAUUAAGUGACUGAGGGGGCCCUCAGGUGGCUUGUGCGCCUGGGGGAAUGCCCGAUACAUGAGCUUUGGAGUUGUGGGUGAGUUUGACCACUCCCCCACUACACACAGGUCAUCAGUUUUAGUUGGCCUACGGGUUGUCUGGGCUGCUUGAGAUCCCCAGCCCGCUGUGCUGUGCCAGGUGCGAGGCUGCCCUGUCCUGGACCUGGGAGACAAGAGCAGAGAAUGGCAGCUCCAGGAGCAUCGGGGGUGAGGGCUGGCCCAGCGUCCCCACCACUGGGCGAGGCGCCCACAGCAGGGUUUCUUGGGGCCUGGGCUUCGGCAUCGCGGGAUACAACUCAGGAACAUCUUGCUACGAGACUCUAUCCAGUCACCACAGCUGAGAGCAGGGAAGUUCCUUGUCUCUCCUGCACCCCGGAUGGCUCCUUGGAGAGCCCCUGUCAGACCUCAGACUGCUGCUCAACAGGGCGCCACGUUGAAUGUCAGGUGAGGAUGCCUCUAGACGCCUGCCCUGUUGCCCACAGCCUCUGGGGGCUACACCCGGUGUCUGAAGUCCUUUGUUGAUGUUGAGUAGGAGAGUGUCUCUCCACCAGCCUGGGCCAUGUCCAGGAUCAACAAGAAGUAGUUACAAAAGCAUGACUUCGUGCUUUACCCCCCAGAGUGGGAGUGAAAUGUCUCAGGGGGCACCUUGUAGCCUAAUGUGUAGGAUUUGGGCGAAAUGGGGAGGGGAGAUGUGGAACAGGGGCAGGGAUUGUAAACUGCCUAGAGCUUGUUUUCCUGAUGUGCCCGGGGAGCAGAAUUUUUUACACUGAACUCAGAGUGGCUGGACCGCCACAAACCACCACCGAAGCAGCAAGAAGCCAGUUUGAGUCAGAUCUUGCAGACCUGAGCUAGGCUUUCCUCACAGCGCGGUGCAGUUCUCCGCCAGGGGAGGAGACGGCUGCCAUUUGCUGAACUGAGGAAGUAUGAAGAUUGGCCCGGGCGGAAGCAGGAGGGGCCCUCUGGUCUGUGGCUGGCCUUGGCCAUGCCCUUCGCCCUGCUGCAGAAGCCCAGGCAGACGAUGGGGGUAGUUUCUUUGGGGGAACCCUUCUUCCCAUGGCCUACUUUUCACUUCGGCAUGUGGGGACGCCUGAAGCCAGUGGACCCUGACUGCGGACACCCGGAUGUGCUGCCUCCCAGCGUCCCUGGCGAGUCCCGAAUGGGCCACAGCAGCGGGUAACGGAAAGAGGAGGCCGCCAUGACGAUGGCGUCCUUUCCUCCCUCUGGGACGCCAUUUUGGAAACAUUUUCUUCAUCAGGCGUGCUUGGAGGUUCCUGGUUACAACUUGCGGUUUCAGUCUCAUCUGAGUUGAAGUCUUGGCCCAGACGUGUGCUGGCUGAGGUGUUGUUGGCAGGACAUUUUAGUAUCCGUCCAGGCUCUGUGCUGUGAGAUCCUCUUCCAGUCUCCAAGAAGACCUUGACCUCAGCAUCCUUCUGGCCCUAGGGUGGUCAACUGGCAUGAUGUCCACACAAGUGAAGGAACAGUUGCUUCUGGAUCACUCAGAUCACUUUCUGUGGACAGGUUUCUUGACCUACAAUUGACAGAACAUGAUGUCAUCAGUGAAAGGGGCCUGACACACGUCCUGCCUGCUGGCGAUCCGCAGCCUUCUGUGCAUUGCCAGGCGCGAGGCUGACCUGUCCUGGCCCUGGGAGACAAGAGCAGAGAAUGGCAGGUCAUCAGUGAAAGGGGCCUGACACACGUCCUGCCUGCUGGCGAUCCGCAGCCUUCUGUGCAUUGCCAGGCGCGAGGCUGACCUGUCCUGGCCCUGGGAGACAAGAGCAGAGAAUGGCAGGUCAUCAGUGAAAGGGGCCUGACACACGUCCUGCCUGCUGGCGAUCCGCAGCCUUCUGUGCAUUGCCAGGCGCGAGGCUGACCUGUCCUGGCCCUGGGAGACAAGAGCAGAGAAUGGCAGGUCAUCAGUGAAAGGGGCCUGACACACGUCCUGCCUGCUGGCGAUCCGCAGCCUUCUGUGCAUUGCCAGGCGCGAGGCUGACCUGUCCUGGCCCUGGGAGACAAGAGCAGAGAAUGGCAGGUCAUCAGUGAAAGGGGCCUGACACACGUCCUGCCUGCUGGCGAUCCGCAGCCUUCUGUGCAUUGCCAGGCGCGAGGCUGACCUGUCCUGGCCCUGGGAGACAAGAGCAGAGAAUGGCAGGUCAUCAGUGAAAGGGGCCUGACACACGUCCUGCCUGCUGGCGAUCCGCAGCCUUCUGUGCAUUGCCAGGCGCGAGGCUGACCUGUCCUGGCCCUGGGAGACAAGAGCAGAGAAUGGCAGACUCACCAUGGCCGUUUUCUGUUGGAAGCACCAGGAGCGUCGGGGGUGAGGGCUGGCCCAGCGUCCCCACCACUGGGCGAGGCACCCACCGCAGGGUUUCUUGGGGGCUGGGCUUGGGCAUCGCGGGAUACAACUCAGGAACAUCUUCCUGCGAGACUCUAUCCAGGUGAGCUGGUUCAGACUCAACUCUGGAAUGUUGGGGUUGUUGCCGGGCCCCCCAGGUCUCCAGGUGAGGUCACUUCCUGUGGCUCCUCAACUGAGCCCCCUCCUCUCACACAAGAUGGCUGCCGAGUCCCAGCGGGCGCUGCCUGCUGCACUUCUAAGCCAUGCCCUGUGCACACUGUCCCCCGUCGCACCAACAGGGGGAAGCCUCCGCCUGCCACAGCAGGUGUGGGUCCAGCCUUUGUCACAGCUGGGCUAGACCUGUUCCCCCCUGCUUGAGGGCUUCUCACCCUGCAUGGUCAUUGUCCCUGUCAAGACGCCCCAGCCUCCCGUGUGGUCCCUGGGGAUCGUGUCCCAGUGAAGCUGGCGCCCUCAGCUGCCCAGCUGUGGACCCUGAGGAGCAAGAGCUCCCAUCACACCCUGAGACCGACCGGGAGCCGCUCCCUGUGCAUUGGGAGCCCUGUCCCAGCCCCUGAAGUGUGGCUCCUCCCAGCCACAGGCACCUGGAGGGUGGUUCUUCUCUCUCAAAGCCCAAAACGAGGCUGCGACCACCCAGACUCAGUUGCCCCGUGUGCACCUGGGGCUGUCUGCUCUAGGGAGCUGAUGGUCAGUGGAGAACUGAGUGCUCCUAGCUCUGGCCUGCACCCCGGAGGAGUCGUGGGGUGGUCCUUUGGGUCCUGCAGGAUCUGGGGCUUUAGCAGUGCACAGUGGUUCUUGAAGCUCAUUCAGACUCCCAGGGGAGUUGGUUGGGCUCAGGGCCGGCUCUCUGAGGACCAGGGUGAUGACUACCGUGGCCCUGCACUUGCUGAUUGUUCCCCAGGGCUGGUAGGGAUCGUGCCAGCCAUCUCUGGGGUCUGGGCCUGCCAUGAGCCUGAGGGAGGUCAGUGUGAGGAGCCAGACGGGAUAGGUGGCAUGUGUGAGAGAGUGUUUCCAUCCAGCGUCCUGAGGAGACCCUAGACACCGGGGCUGUUCCGUGUUGGGUUUGGACAGGGGCGUGGGGAGAGAUCAGGAGUGGUGUUGGGCGUGGUUCAGUGAGGAAUGUCUGGGGAGUAGAUGGCCGUGGUGGGGACACAUAGUGUGCGUGUCCUUCCUGUUAGCUAAUGGCUAGUUCCCUGUUGUGGGAAUGUCCUUCCCUGAAAGAUGAGGGACAGGCUCAUGUGCCGGGGUUGGUGCUGACGGUGGCAGCACUGGCGAUGUCGAGUGGUUUAGAUGGCAGUGGCCCGUGGCCCUUCCCUGUGGGGAGCUCUCCUGUCCCCCAACCAGAGCCUGAAAAGAUGCUAUUUGGGUGUACUCUCGAUAGUAAAGACCUCCUGUGAAAAGUUUCUGGGAGGAGUUAAGCUGCUGCUGUGCUUUGAAUACUCUUUUCCUUCUUUCUCUGAGAAGUAGAGUGAGACACAGAGAGGGAGAGACAGAGAGGUCUUCCAUGUGCUGGUUCAAUCCGCUACUGGCCACAGUGUCCUCAAAUGGGCUAAUCGGAGGCCAGGAGCUGAGAGCGUCUACAGGUCUCCGGCGGCAUGGGUGCAGGGGUCCAAGGACUUGGGCCAUCUUCAUUGCUUUCGCAGGCCAUCACCAGGGAGCUGGGUGGAAGUGGAGCAGCCAGCACACAAGCCAGUGCCCAUAUGGGAUGCUGGCGCCGCAGGUGGAGGCUUAACCUACUGCUCUACACUGCCGACCCAGGAGUGCAGCCACUUUCAUCUAAGUUUGGGCUCAGGGUUUUUUGUUGUUGUUGUUAAGAUUGAUUUAUUUACUUCACUGGCAGAGUGACAGGAGAGAAAGAGGCAAGAGAGACAGAGAGAGAGAGGGAGAGAGAGAGGGAGAAAGAGAGACAGAGAGGUCUUUGAUCCAAUGGGUCACUCCCCAAAGGGCCACAACAGCCGGUGCUGAGCUGAUCCAAAGCCAGGAGCCAGGAGCUUCUUCUGGGUCUACCACGUGGAUAAGGGGGCCAAGUCCAUGGCCCAUGUUCCACUGCCUUCUCGUGUCUUAGCAGAGAGCUGCAUUGGAAGUGGAGCAGCUGGGACUCCAACCGGUGCCCAUAUGGUAUCUCGAUGUCAUAGGCAGAUGUUCAACCUACUAUGCCACAGCGCCGCCCCAGGAUGUCGUCUUGUCCCUUCCCUUCCCUUCCCUUCCCUUCCCUUCCCUUCCCUUCCCUUCCCUUCCCUUCCC
This is a non-coding RNA of Oryctolagus cuniculus (rabbit), 4688 nucleotides long. The record is from RefSeq and is a predicted model, not a curated record. Lineage: Eukaryota; Metazoa; Chordata; Mammalia; Lagomorpha; Leporidae.